RNAcentral lists this ribosomal RNA (663 nucleotides) under Serratia marcescens. Its description in RNAcentral is "partial 23S ribosomal RNA". It matches the Rfam family "Bacterial large subunit ribosomal RNA", at positions 566 to 1230 of the family's 2925-position model. Lineage: Bacteria; Pseudomonadati; Pseudomonadota; Gammaproteobacteria; Enterobacterales; Yersiniaceae. The record is from RNAcentral.
ACAAGCAGUGGGAGCACCUUCGUGGUGUGACUGCGUACCUUUUGUAUAAUGGGUCAGCGACUUAUAUUUUGUAGCAAGGUUAACCGUAUAGGGGAGCCGUAGGGAAACCGAGUCUUAACUGGGCGAAUAGUUGCAAGGUAUAGACCCGAAACCCGGUGAUCUAGCCAUGGGCAGGUUGAAGGUUGGGUAACACUAACUGGAGGACCGAACCGACUAAUGUUGAAAAAUUAGCGGAUGACUUGUGGCUGGGGGUGAAAGGCCAAUCAAACCGGGAGAUAGCUGGUUCUCCCCGAAAGCUAUUUAGGUAGCGCCUCGUGAACUCAUCUUCGGGGGUAGAGCACUGUUUCGGCUAGGGGGCCAUCCCGGCUUACCAAACCGAUGCAAACUCCGAAUACCGAAGAAUGUUAUCACGGGAGACACACGGCGGGUGCUAACGUCCGUCGUGAAGAGGGAAACAACCCAGACCGCCAGCUAAGGUCCCAAAGUCAUGGUUAAGUGGGAAACGAUGUGGGAAGGCACAGACAGCCAGGAUGUUGGCUUAGAAGCAGCCAUCAUUUAAAGAAAGCGUAAUAGCUCACUGGUCGAGUCGGCCUGCGCGGAAGAUGUAACGGGGCUAAACCAUGCACCGAAGCUGCGGCAGCGACGCUUAGGCGUUGUUGGGUA